UACGUAGGGCGCAAGCGUUAUCCGGAAUUAUUGGGCGUAAAGGGCUCGUAGGCGGUUUGUCGCGUCUGCCGUGAAAGUCCGGGGCUCAACUCCGGAUCUGCGGUGGGUACGGGCAGACUAGAGUGAUGUAGGGGAGACUGGAAUUCCUGGUGUAGCGGUGGAAUGCGCAGAUAUCAGGAGGAACACCGAUGGCGAAGGCAGGUCUCUGGGCAUUAACUGACGCUGAGGAGCGAAAGCAUGGGGAGCAAACAGG
RNAcentral lists this ribosomal RNA (253 nucleotides) under uncultured bacterium. RNAcentral describes it as "partial 16S ribosomal RNA". It matches the Rfam family "Bacterial small subunit ribosomal RNA", at positions 524 to 776 of the family's 1533-position model. The record is from RNAcentral.